Molecule: unclassified non-coding RNA, 253 nt
Filed under: uncultured Gammaproteobacteria bacterium
Lineage: Bacteria; Pseudomonadati; Pseudomonadota; Gammaproteobacteria
Description: contains 16S-23S intergenic spacer region
Rfam family: Bacterial small subunit ribosomal RNA
Source: RNAcentral
UACAGAGAGUGCAAGCGUUAAUCGGAAUCACUGGGCGUAAAGCGCGCGUAGGUGGAUAUUUUAGUCGGAUGUGAAAGCCCUAGGCUUAACCUAGGAAUUGCAUCCGAUACUGGAUGUCUAGAGUAUGGUAGAGGGAAGUGGAAUUUCCGGUGUAGCGGUGAAAUGCGUAGAUAUCGGAAAGAACACCAGUGGCGAAGGCGACUUCCUGGACCAAUACUGACACUGAGGCGCGAAAGCGUGGGUAGCAAACAGG